AUUCACUGUUCAUAAGAAUGGGAAAAUCUGAGCCUUCCAUCGUUGCAACAUCUAAACCGCACGAUUAGUUUUUCUUCCUUCUCCCUUAUUCCUCAUAUCUCUCUGUCUUCUCCCUCAUAUAUUGUUCUCCUUUCUUCUGCCCUCUCCUCUUUCUUCUUUCUCUGUCUUUUCAUCUGGUUUCACUCCACACAACAAGGUUUCUCUCUCCUCUUUCUCAUCGUUUCUCUAUCUCUCUCAAAACCACAAUUCAAUUUCAUCGGCAUCAACAGUCGCCAACAUUUUUCGACUGAAAUGGUUUCAAUUUGAUGAAGUGUGAUUGUGAAGGAGAAGAGGAAGCCUAGAUCAGAAAGCAACCAUGACCCAAGGGACAUUGAUCUCACUUAAAGCAAAGCAAAGUGGUAUCUUUUCUGCUUGGAUUUAUUCCAAGUUUAGUUGCUUGGGUCUACUCUAAGAUUUUGGAGUACAAGAGGUCUUCAUCUCAUUCUGAAGUCCAUUCAGAUAAUAAUCUUGUUGAGUUGGGAAAUGAAGCUGCUAAGGAAGUUGACCGAGCAGUACUCUUGGAAGGGGAACUUUCAAAAUCCGCAUUGCAAAAGUUCUCUUCUUCAUUGAUUAAGUCAAACUUGAUUAGGUUUGUGACAAUGGAUGAGUCUUUUUUGCUGGAAAAUCGAGCUACAUUGAGAGCCAUAGCUGAGCUUGGGGCAAUUUUGGUGUACUUUUAUAUCUGUGACCGGACAGAUUUGCCGGAGAUUCAACCAAGAUUUGUAGCAAUAUCCAAUUCUUCUGUUCCAAGGAUGCUACAUUCAGAUAUUAGUGCUUCUUGGUGUUGGCCUUGAGUUUCACUUCAUUCAAGCACUCUGACACCGGUUGGAAUCGCCGGAAUCCGAAGUCUACUGCUGCAUCGCCGGCGUUGUCGUCAUCCUCCGCUACGGCUUCGGGAUAGCAGCAUUUCAACAACAACAACAACAUUAGAAACAGGUUAGUGUUUAACGCUUGACUUUUUAUGUCUCAAAUUUGGAUUUUGGGGUGUUUUUGAGGUGUAGGUGAUAACAAUUUCUCGCUUGUUUCAAAUGGGUUUAGCUCAUUCUGAUUUAUGGUGUUGAUUAGUUUUUUUUUAGAAGUUUUAGGGUGUUCUUUAUAAAUAGGUAACUACAAGAUAAAUUCUAGAGUAAUAGAUAUAGUUUGUUGAUGAUGUACCAAUACAGAAGAAGAUCACAGUACGGUGCUUUGCUCUUUCCUAGCUCGCAUUAACCUCCUACUCUGCUUUUCAUAACUGCCAAGCAUUUGUGUUCCAGCUACCAGGUUCUGGUUUUUUUCCUGAACAUUCUAGAUCCAACCUGUGUUGGUUUUGCAUAGUCCUUGUUUCCUUCUCUUACCGCUCAACUCUCUAGGUAUGUAUUUAUUUCUUAUUUUUAAAAAAUAACCUCCAUGCACCAGCUUGUCUGACAAUCAAAUUAUGGUUAGUAAUGUAUAUACUAAGUUAUUAACAAGUAUUCCUAAUUUCCACCAUGUAUUCUGCUUUUAGAGUUUUCCUUUUAAGUUUAUAUUGCAUGUAUGAUAGCCUUCUGCAUUUCCUUCUUUUUGUUUUUAACUAGAAGCCAUCUUGCAGUUGAAACCACCCUUUUAGCAUCCUAGAACAAUAUUCUGAUGCUUGGUACAAGUGUGAUGAUUCCUACAAUUCUUGUCCCUGCAAUGGGCGGAUCUUAUGCAUCAAAUUGCAGGAACAAUGCCACGAGUUUUAUUUCUUCUAUAGGAGUACUCCUACUAAAAGCAAUGAAUUACACUAUUUUGGGGUAUCGCACGCGUAGACACACAAAGGAAAACAUCUGAAGAACAAAAGAGAUGAAUACGAAGGAUGAUUUAAGAGUACAUUCUUCAGGAGGAGGAGAGUUAGUCCUAGACUUUCUGGCAUAACAUUUAGUACAUCCUCAUACUUUGCUUGUAUAUUAUUAUUUUUCCAUGUAAAGUAGGAUGUUUUAAUAAAAGAAACUAAAGCAUAGCUUACAAUAUAUGGAAUGCAAUUGUACAGUUUUUUGAGAAGCAUUUAUGAACUUGUAUUAUAUUUAUUCUUAA
Molecule: RNA transcript, 2070 nt
Organism: Beta vulgaris subsp. vulgaris (sugar beet)
Lineage: Eukaryota; Viridiplantae; Streptophyta; Magnoliopsida; Caryophyllales; Amaranthaceae
Exons: 10
Source: RefSeq, a predicted model, not a curated record